RNAcentral lists this ribosomal RNA (406 nucleotides) under uncultured bacterium. Its description in RNAcentral is "partial 16S ribosomal RNA". It matches the Rfam family "Bacterial small subunit ribosomal RNA", at positions 28 to 526 of the family's 1533-position model. The record is from RNAcentral.
GAUGAACGCUAGCUACAGGCUUAACACAUGCAAGUCGAGGGACCGGCGCACGGGUGAGUAACACGUAUCCAACCUGCCCUUUACUCGGGGAUAGCCUUUCGGAAGAAAGAUUAAUACCCGAUAUAAAGGAUGGGGAUGCGUUCCAUUAGGUUGUUGGGGAGGUAACGGUUCACCAAGCCUUCGAUGGAGAGGGGUUCUGAGAGGAAGGUCACCAACAUGGGAAAGGAGACCCGGGCCAAACGCCUACGGGAGGAAGCAGCGAGGAAUAUUGGUCAAUGGGCGCUAGCCUGAAUCAGCCAAGUAGCGUGAAGGAGGAAGGCUGAUGGGUCUUAAACUUCUUUUAUAUAAGAAUAUGUAGUAUAUGAAUAAGGAUCGGCUAACUCCGUGCCAGCAGCCGCGGUAAUUC